Molecule: long non-coding RNA, 286 nt
Filed under: Ananas comosus (pineapple)
Lineage: Eukaryota; Viridiplantae; Streptophyta; Magnoliopsida; Poales; Bromeliaceae
Description: long non-coding RNA (ACOM_LNC042472)
Source: RNAcentral
ACUGAUACACUUUGCCCAGAUUACAGUUUUUGCACUGUUUCGACUCUAUUUCGCGCCGGUCGAUGCUAAAACUCUUCUAACCUCUCUUAAACUCACUUUUAACCCUUCCAACAUUAUUGGAAGGUUAAUUGAAACUUGUCCAAUCAAUCCUUUCGCACACUUUAGUCAAUUUGGCUAAAGUUUGAUAUUUUUCUACCGAGUUUCGGUACGUUACACCACCACCCCUCUUUCUCUUGUUCUCAGCUGAGAACUCAUCUUCUCUCUAAUUUUCUCCCCCUCUCUCUCU